AACGAACGCUGGCGGCGCGUUUUAAGCAUGCAAGUCGGACGGCAAGAGUGGUAGCAAUACUGCUCCUAGAGUGGCGAACGGGUGAGUAAGACGUAGGUGAUCUACCUCUGGAUGGGGGAUAGUCCGUGGAAACACGGGGUAAUACCGCAUGAGGCCUUGUGGGUAAAGCCAUGAGGUGAAAGGUGCAAUUGCAUCGUCUGGGGAUGAGCCUGCGGUCCAUUAGGUAGUUGGCGGGGUAAGAGCCCACCAAGCCGACGAUGGAUAGCCGGCCUGAGAGGGUGUACGGCCACACUGGAACUGAGACACGGUCCAGACUCCUACGGGAGGCAGCAACUAAGAAUCUUCCGCAAUGGGGGAAACCCUGACGGAGCGACGCCGCGUGGACGAUGGAGGCCGUAAGGUUGUAAAGUCCUUUUCCUGGUGAAGAAUAGGUAGGGGAGUGGAAAGCCCCUAUGAUGACGUUAGCCAGGGAAUAAGCCCCGGCCAAUUACGUGCCAGCCGCCGCGGUAAUUCA
RNAcentral lists this ribosomal RNA (514 nucleotides) under uncultured Spirochaetota bacterium. Its description in RNAcentral is "bacterial SSU rRNA". It matches the Rfam family "Bacterial small subunit ribosomal RNA", at positions 29 to 527 of the family's 1533-position model. Lineage: Bacteria; Pseudomonadati; Spirochaetota. The record is from RNAcentral.